AGAGUUUGAUCAUGGCUCAGGAUGAACGCUGGCGGCGUGCCUAAUACAUGCAAGUCGAACGAGUUCUCGUUGAUGAUCGGUGCUUGCACCGAGAUUCAACAUGGAACGAGUGGCGGACGGGUGAGUAACACGUGGGUAACCUGCCCUUAAGUGGGGGAUAACAUUUGGAAACAGAUGCUAAUACCGCAUAGAUCCAAGAACCGCAUGGUUCUUGGCUGAAAGAUGGCGUAAGCUAUCGCUUUUGGAUGGACCCGCGGCGUAUUAGCUAGUUGGUGAGGUAAUGGCUCACCAAGGCGAUGAUACGUAGCCGAACUGAGAGGUUGAUCGGCCACAUUGGGACUGAGACACGGCCCAAACUCCUACGGGAGGCAGCAGUAGGGAAUCUUCCACAAUGGACGCAAGUCUGAUGGAGCAACGCCGCGUGAGUGAAGAAGGCUUUCGGGUCGUAAAACUCUGUUGUUGGAGAAGAAUGGUCGGCAGAGUAACUGUUGUCGGCGUGACGGUAUCCAACCAGAAAGCCACGGCUAACUACGUGCCAGCAGCCGCGGUAAUACGUAGGUGGCAAGCGUUAUCCGGAUUUAUUGGGCGUAAAGCGAGCGCAGGCGGUUUUUUAAGUCUGAUGUGAAAGCCCUCGGCUUAACCGAGGAAGCGCAUCGGAAACUGGGAAACUUGAGUGCAGAAGAGGACAGUGGAACUCCAUGUGUAGCGGUGAAAUGCGUAGAUAUAUGGAAGAACACCAGUGGCGAAGGCGGCUGUCUGGUCUGUAACUGACGCUGAGGCUCGAAAGCAUGGGUAGCGAACAGGAUUAGAUACCCUGGUAGUCCAUGCCGUAAACGAUGAAUGCUAGGUGUUGGAGGGUUUCCGCCCUUCAGUGCCGCAGCUAACGCAUUAAGCAUUCCGCCUGGGGAGUACGACCGCAAGGUUGAAACUCAAAGGAAUUGACGGGGGCCCGCACAAGCGGUGGAGCAUGUGGUUUAAUUCGAAGCAACGCGAAGAACCUUACCAGGUCUUGACAUCUUUUGAUCACCUGAGAGAUCAGGUUUCCCCUUCGGGGGCAAAAUGACAGGUGGUGCAUGGUUGUCGUCAGCUCGUGUCGUGAGAUGUUGGGUUAAGUCCCGCAACGAGCGCAACCCUUAUGACUAGUUGCCAGCAUUUAGUUGGGCACUCUAGUAAGACUGCCGGUGACAAACCGGAGGAAGGUGGGGAUGACGUCAAAUCAUCAUGCCCCUUAUGACCUGGGCUACACACGUGCUACAAUGGAUGGUACAACGAGUUGCGAGACCGCGAGGUCAAGCUAAUCUCUUAAAGCCAUUCUCAGUUCGGACUGUAGGCUGCAACUCGCCUACACGAAGUCGGAAUCGCUAGUAAUCGCGGAUCAGCACGCCGCGGUGAAUACGUUCCCGGGCCUUGUACACACCGCCCGUCACACCAUGAGAGUUUGUAACACCCGAAGCCGGUGGCGUAACCCUUUUAGGGAGCGAGCCGUCUAAGGUGGGACAAAUGAUUAGGGUGAAGUCGUA
This 1520-nucleotide ribosomal RNA is filed under the name Lacticaseibacillus paracasei. RNAcentral's name for it is "bacterial SSU rRNA". It matches the Rfam family "Bacterial small subunit ribosomal RNA". The record is from RNAcentral. Lineage: Bacteria; Bacillati; Bacillota; Bacilli; Lactobacillales; Lactobacillaceae.